CUAAAUAGCCNGGCCGCUUUGCGGGUCGCCGGCUUCUUAGAGGGACUAUCGGAUUUCAAGUCGAUGGAAGUUUGAGGCAAUAACAGGUCUGUGAUGCCCUUAGAUGUUCUGGGCCGCACGCGCGCUACACUGACAGAGCCAACGAGUACAACACCUUGGCCGGAAGGUCUGGGUAAUCUUGUUAAACUCUGUCGUGCUGGGGAUAGAGCAUUGCAAUG
This 218-nucleotide ribosomal RNA is filed under the name uncultured fungus. RNAcentral describes it as "partial small subunit ribosomal RNA". It matches the Rfam family "Eukaryotic small subunit ribosomal RNA", at positions 1351 to 1591 of the family's 1831-position model. The record is from RNAcentral. Lineage: Eukaryota; Fungi.